RNAcentral lists this ribosomal RNA (722 nucleotides) under uncultured Fusobacterium sp. RNAcentral's name for it is "bacterial SSU rRNA". It matches the Rfam family "Bacterial small subunit ribosomal RNA", at positions 28 to 776 of the family's 1533-position model. Lineage: Bacteria; Fusobacteriati; Fusobacteriota; Fusobacteriia; Fusobacteriales; Fusobacteriaceae. The record is from RNAcentral.
GAUGAACGCUGACAGAAUGCUUAACACAUGCAAGUCAACUUGAACUUCGGUUUGGGUGGCGGACGGGUGAGUAACGCGUAAAGAACUUGCCUCACAGUUAGGGACAACAUUUGGAAACGAAUGCUAAUACCUGAUAUUAUGAUUUUAGGGCAUCCUAGAAUUAUGAAAGCUAUAUGCGCUGUGAGAGAGCUUUGCGUCCCAUUAGCUAGUUGGAGAGGUAACGGCUCACCAAGGCGAUGAUGGGUAGCCGGCCUGAGAGGGUGAACGGCCACAAGGGGACUGAGACACGGCCCUUACUCCUACGGGAGGCAGCAGUGGGGAAUAUUGGACAAUGGACCAAGAGUCUGAUCCAGCAAUUCUGUGUGCACGAUGAAGUUUUUCGGAAUGUAAAGUGCUUUCAGUUGGGAAGAAAAAAAUGACGGUACCAACAGAAGAAGUGACGGCUAAAUACGUGCCAGCAGCCGCGGUAAUACGUAUGUCACAAGCGUUAUCCGGAUUUAUUGGGCGUAAAGCGCGUCUAGGUGGUUAUAUGAGUCUGAUGUGAAAAUGCAGGGCUCAACUCUGUAUUGCGUUGGAAACUGUGUAACUAGAGUACUGGAGAGGUAAGCGGAACUACAAGUGUAGAGGUGAAAUUCGUAGAUAUUUGUAGGAAUGCCGAUGGGGAAGCCAGCUUACUGGACAGAUACUGACGCUGAAGCGCGAAAGCGUGGGUAGCAAACAGG